AGAUGGCGGCCGGCGCACGGGUGAGUAACACGUAUCCAACCUGCCGAUAACUCGGGGAUAGCCUUUCGAAAGAAAGAUUAAUACCCGAUGGCAUAAUAGAACCGCAUGGUUUGAUUAUUAAAGAAUUUCGGUUAUCGAUGGGGAUGCGUUCCAUUAGGCAGUUGGUGGGGUAACGGCCCACCAAACCUUCGAUGGAUAGGGGUUCUGAGAGGAAGGUCCCCCACAUUGGAACUGAGACACGGUCCAA
Molecule: ribosomal RNA, 247 nt
Filed under: uncultured bacterium
Lineage: Bacteria
Description: partial 16S ribosomal RNA
Rfam family: Bacterial small subunit ribosomal RNA
Source: RNAcentral